RNAcentral lists this long non-coding RNA (278 nucleotides) under Ananas comosus (pineapple). RNAcentral describes it as "long non-coding RNA (ACOM_LNC031160)". Lineage: Eukaryota; Viridiplantae; Streptophyta; Magnoliopsida; Poales; Bromeliaceae. The record is from RNAcentral.
CCUCCGAGAAGAUUACCUACUAUUUGUACCAGAAAAAGUCGAAAAAAUCAAAUUCCGAAAAUAUACAUGUGUGGGGUUCAAACCUCGCGAAAAGACUAUCUACUACUAGUACCAAAAAAAGCAAGAAAAUCAAAUUUCGAAAAUAUAUACGUGCGGAGUUCGAUCCCUCUUAGAAGUUACCGAGUACCGGACAAAGUCAGAAAAUCAAAUUCCGAAAAUAUACAUGUGUGGAAUUCCAACUCCCUUCAAAAUGCCUUCUCAAGAUAAGAAACCACUAU